CCCUAUGGGGUGCAGCAGGCGGAUCUGGCGGCGGAAGGGUGUCCAACGAUGUUGCAUUUAGCGGAAGCACAGGGUAUUCCGCUACUAUCGGACCGGGCGGAUCCGGCGGCCCCAGCGGGGCAUACGGAAGUCAUGGCAAUGCCGGGGGAACGACAUCACUUAACGGUGUGUCGGCGCCCGGCGGAAACUAUGGUAAUGUAACUUCCGGAGGCAGUUCCGCCGGUACCGGGUCUGGGUCAGGCGGCGCUGGAAAAUCAUCGUAUGGUGCCGGUGUCGCUGGCAGCGCGGGGGGAUCAUUCUUUAUCAAUGGUGUAAGUAUUGGAACCUUUGGCGGAGGCGGGGGGGC
Molecule: ribosomal RNA, 346 nt
Filed under: uncultured prokaryote
Description: partial 16S ribosomal RNA
Source: RNAcentral